This 271-nucleotide ribosomal RNA is filed under the name uncultured Pseudomonadales bacterium. Its description in RNAcentral is "partial 16S ribosomal RNA". It matches the Rfam family "Bacterial small subunit ribosomal RNA", at positions 502 to 773 of the family's 1533-position model. The record is from RNAcentral. Lineage: Bacteria; Pseudomonadati; Pseudomonadota; Gammaproteobacteria; Pseudomonadales.
CUUGUGCCAGCAGCCGCGGUAAUACAGAGGGUGCAAGCGUUAAUCGGAAUUACUGGGCGUAAAGCGCGCGUAGGUGGUUCGUUAAGUUGGAUGUGAAAUCCCCGGGCUCAACUGGGAACUGCAUUCAAAACUGACGAGCUAGAGUAUGGUAGAGGGUGGUGGAAUUUCCUGUGUAGCGGUGAAAUGCGUAGAUAUAGGAAGGAACACCAGUGGCGAAGGCGACCACCUGGACUGAUACUGACACUGAGGUGCGAAAGCGUGGGGAGCAAAC